RNA transcript from Tetranychus urticae (two-spotted spider mite), 3461 nucleotides. It is a transcript of the gene named opsin, ultraviolet-sensitive, with no coding region annotated. The record is from RefSeq and is a predicted model, not a curated record. NCBI's taxonomy places the organism in Eukaryota, Metazoa, Arthropoda, Arachnida, Trombidiformes, Tetranychidae.
AUUCAUCGUUUCAACUGGUUGAUGCAAAGCUGCACAAGAAUUCAUGUCAGGAAAAAGUAAAUUAAUUUUAAGUUUAUCAUCAAUACUCCAUAUUAGUUCAUCAUGAUCCAUUUCUUAGACUCUUUAUCACUUAUCAACUAACAAAACAGGAAUCAGUAACUUGUUUCAGUGCCAAGUAUUCAUUUCUUCAAAUUAAAGUUAUCAUAAAGUUGAUUCACUUCAACAGUUUGUAUCAUAACUCUCACCAAAUAAUCAUUCAUCAAGCCAAUGUGAUUGUUGAUUGUGCAGCCAAAGUGAAAAAGUGGACUGAAAAUUGAUUACAAACUUCCUUCACUUGUUACGUGUUGACAUUUAACGGUUAAAAAUAGAAACUUGAGUUAUCAAAGAUCAAUCCUUGUUCAUCACUCCCAGUCAAUGCUGUCAAACAAACAGUUCAAAAUGGGAAUGUUUGAAUAAUAGUUGAGUUCAAUUUGAAUCACAUUUCAAUAUCUUGAGUUGAAUUGAAACUCUGCAAAUUAAACCUUAGGCAAACGAAUCCAAUUAGUUGAAAAUCGAGUCAACUUUUUCUCUCAAUUUGAGCAAAUAAAAGUUCAACAAAAGAUACAAAUUUAUUCCAAAUUUUUCAUGAUGCAUUGAAGCUCGAUACAAAAGUAGCAAUCAAUUGCCUUAGUUGAACCUUCAAAAUUAUCUCUGAAAUCAAUACUCGAAGAAUGAUUAUCUUGUAAAGUAAGAAAUUAAAAGAUAUUGAAAUGUCGAUUCAGAAAUGCUCUUCAUUUUGGUGAAGUUAUUUUUGGUUAAACUUUUUGAACAAUUUAUUCACCUUUACUCAGCAAUAAUUAAUAAGGAGAUAAAGCAUUGAAAGCAUCAACUUUGCUCAGAUUGAUUCAAGUUGAUAUUGUUGAAUAAGUUAUUGAUCAUGAUGGAUAAUACAGUGAUAAGUGAUAACAAUUUAACAUCAAAAUUGAUUCCAAUCGAAACGAGUUUCAAUGUUUCAUCCAACCCAACAUUUCAUCGUUAUAAUACAACUUGGAGAGAUGUAAUUGAACCUUCACUCAUUGGCUAUAUUCCCGACUUUUGGUUAAACUUUGAACCUCCCAAAAAAUAUCAACACUACAUACUUGGUGUAACAUAUCUGCUUAUCCUGGUUCCGGCCAUUUUCGGCAACGGAGCAAUUAUAUGGCUCUUCUAUCGUUGCCGUAACCUGCGAACUCCAUCAAACAUUUUAGUCGUGAAUCUUGCACUAGCCGAUUUGAUACAAAACUUAAAGAUGCCUCUUUUCAUCUACAAUAGCUUUAAAUGUGGACCUGCCACGGGCGAGUUGGGCUGUAAAAUUUAUGGAUUCUUUGGUGGCCUUUCCGGAACAUCAGCAAUCAUGACAAUAGCCAUGAUGGCAAUGGAACGUUUAAAUUCAAUUUCAAAACCCUUAUCACCCCAUUCACGUCUCUCUAUGCGUAGAGCAUUGGUUAUUUCAACGCUGAUCUGGAUCUAUUCAUUAAUCUUUUCAACUCCUCCUGUUUUCCAUCUCUUCAAUCGUUAUGUUCCUGAAGGAUAUUUAACUUCAUGUUCCUUUGACUAUCUCUCAAAAGAUCUUGUUUCCCGAAUUUACAUUUUUGCCUUUUUUACGGCAGCCUGGAUUGUCCCCUUAACCCUGAUUGUGACCUCGUACGUGGGUAUCAUCAUUGCCGUUGAAAGGAAUGAAACCAUGUUCCAGAAGACUCAGGAUAGACUGUGUGAACGUGCAUCCUCAGUGUACCGAGCCUCUCUUCGUGACUCUCGAGGUCGAUCUGUCAAGGAAAGUGGUAAAAUGGAGAUGAGAUUGGUUAAAAUUGUACUUUCCUUAAUUGCUUUUUGGAUACUCUCGUGGACACCUUAUGCUAUCAUUUCUCUUCUUGGUCUUCUCGAUCAAUCUUACAUUACUCCAACCUCAUCCAUGAUUCCUGCUAUCUUUGCCAAGCUUUCAUCCGUUGUUAAUCCAUACCUUUAUGGACUUGGUAAUCCUAGAUUUAAACGUGAACUUAAACGUAAACUGUGCUUCUGUGUGGCCAAUAAAGCUUCCGUUGAACGGCGAGCCGUUAUCCAAUCAACAGUUACUCUGGGUGACCCAAAAGAGGGAACACAAUUUGUUCACAUAUCUGAUGGUAAUUUAUCUGAAAUUGAAUUAUCUGACUACGAGAAUCGAUGAUGUUACCUUUCAUCAUAGGCUUGCAAGUGCAACUAGCUCAGUGAAAUAGUGAAGAAUACGUAAAGAAAAAAAUUAUUCAUGUCUAUUUGAAAUAGUCAAUUAUCAUGAAAAUAAACCAAGUCAAGCAAACUGCACCUUUUUUGAACAACAAGGAACAAAACAAAUGAAAACAAAAGUCUCUACUCAAAAUACUGAAUUAUUAGCAUAAAUUAACUAAAUUUAAAGCUAUUUUUGUUUGUUCCUUUUCUGUGAAACUUGUAUUCUUCACUGAAUUUUGUUGAUACCAAAGAAAUUUAUUUGCCAACAAAAGGAUUUGGUGCUUAAUCUAAUCAACGAAAGAACCAUCACAAUUCAAGGGAUAAUUUAAUCAAUGGAUGAAGACUACAAAGAAUCGACACUAUUUUUUUCAACUCACACCAAUAGACAAAUUAUGACAGAUACCUGGUUAUCUCUAAAUUUACUAUAAACUCAACUAUUACUGAACGCUAUGCUGAACAAAUGUGCUCUUUCCUCGUCCCAAGAAUCAACCAAAAAAGGCUAAUAUUUACCACUUUUACAAGCAACUCUCUCCAGGAAAAAGCAAACCAAAGACCAACUCUAUAUCACUUUACACACAUAAUCCAAGCUUCAUCUGUUGACCAUCAUUUCAUUCAAAUGGUCAACCUGUUUAUAAUUGUUAAUAUUGAAAGUGUUUACCUUUUGUUAGCCUUCUCCCAAAGGGAAAAAUUGUCCCUGAAAUAGUGUAAAGGUACUGAUGAAGUUAAUACAAAUUAUGAUAAUGAUGAAUAAUAUAUUAUUAACUCAGUAAAUGUACAGACACAAUGAACACAGUGAAGCAGAUAUACAAAAAAACAACCAUGAAUGUAAACUAAAUAUUUUGCAAUGAAAAAGACAGCAAUUAUGAAAAGAUGAUUGCGAUUUGAUAUUAGCAAAAAUAUUAAGUGAAGCAAACAUAGGAAAAGCAGAUUAAUAUAUGAAUAUAAAUACUAUCAACAAAAUAAUGAAAGGUAAAAAUAUCAAUAUAAGUAUUAAUGGCUAGUGAUAUGAGCAUAUUUAAUAAAAAAAAGCUUUGUCCAUCUUUAUCAUGACAUGAGUUAACCAUCAUCUUAAUGUGUAUAAAUGUAACCUUAGUUGAUCAUAAAUUCAGUUCACACUGAGUUGUAAUGUAAACUGCAUAGUUUAAGCGUAUUUUACUGAAUCCCUCUCAAAUAAGAAUAGAGAAAAUGUUUAAUUAUUUUCUAUUAAACGAUCACCCAAUCUAAAUUGUACGAUAAUUUAA